This 1237-nucleotide small RNA is filed under the name Pan troglodytes (chimpanzee). Its description in RNAcentral is "retained intron". The record is from RNAcentral. Lineage: Eukaryota; Metazoa; Chordata; Mammalia; Primates; Hominidae.
AGAGCACAUGGCCCCUUCCACGGCUUUGGGGAUUCAAGUGCAGUUUCAUGUGAAGGGUUCCACCUUCCCAGGCCACAAGUUUUUUUAUAUCUCAUAUCCCCAGCUUGAAUAGGGAGGGAAUUCUGGACAUGGAAAUCACCUUCACAUUAGGCUGCUGUGGCUCCGUUUUGUAAGCAGCAGAUGCUGAUGGCUGAGCACAAACAAAAUGUGCCUCCAUACGGGCUGUUUCACCUUUACAUAAGAUGCCUUCCCAAACUAAUCCCAGAAACUUCCCUUUUCUGCAGGAUUCAAAGGCAAAUCCAAGCCCAACCUUCUGAAGCAGGAGACCAGCAGCCUGGCCUGUGGGCUGCGCAUUCUCUUCCGGAUGUACAUGGAUGAGAGCCGCAUUAGUGCCUGGGAGGAGGUCCAGCAGAGGCUUUUGAAUGUCUGCAGUGAAGCACUAAGUUACUUCCUCACUCUAACAUCAGAAAGUCAUCGAGAAGCCUGGACUAACUUACUGCUUUUGUUUCUAACUAAAGUUCUAAAGAUAAGUGAUAAUAGGUUUAAAGCUCAUGCAUCAUUCUACUACCCUCUCUUAUGUGAAAUUAUGCAAUUUGACUUGAUUCCUGAACUUCGUGCUGUUCUUAGAAGAUUUUUUCUGCGAAUCGGAGUAGUUUUUCAGAUAUCACAACCACCUGAACAGGAACUUGGAAUAAACAAGCAAUGAUGGGAACUUAAUAUUUUUGUUGGCAUUUACAUCCCUCUGCUCUUUAAAAGGACGCUGGAGCUGAGGUUUCCUACCUGAAAAAUGAUUUCUCUGGAUUGCAGUGUCUGAGAGUUACUGGUAAAGAUGCUUAGAAGUCUUACUCAAACUUGCAACACUCCAGUCCCUUUUAGUGCUGGCGGAUUUUGUGUGUUAUAUUGGCCUCAUGUUGAGCAGAAAGCCUGUUUAAACAGUGUCAGCUCAUGCUCACGGGUCCUUCCCUGUCUUCCACGGCAGGAAAAGCCCCACGUUUUUGGCAGGUGUGGAAGUGAAACUUACCCAAAGAACUAUAGAUGUAAAGAUUGAACUUCUACAAGAAGUACAACUCAGGAGAGCUGUAUUUUGAAGGAUAAAAUGUUUAUAAUUGGGGAGUGGGGAGAGAAGAAGAAAUUAUUGUUCAUGGUAAAAGAUAUUUAGCAACUAUGGUAUUCUUAUUCUGAAGAUUUUUGCACACUCAGGCUAUCUGAGAUACUGGUAAUCAUCCUGUGAAAAAUG